Molecule: ribosomal RNA, 441 nt
Filed under: uncultured bacterium
Lineage: Bacteria
Description: bacterial SSU rRNA
Rfam family: Bacterial small subunit ribosomal RNA
Source: RNAcentral
AACGCGAAGAACCUUACCUGGGCUCGAAAUGUUGUGGACCGGGGUGGAAACAUCCCUUCCCCGCAAGGGGCCGCAAUAUAGGUGCUGCAUGGCUGUCGUCAGCUCGUGUCGUGAGAUGUUGGGUUAAGUCCCGCAACGAGCGCAACCCUUAUCUUCAGUUGCUACCAUUUAGUUGAGCACUCUGACGAAACCGCCUCGGAUAACGGGGAGGAAGGUGGGGAUGACGUCAAGUCCUCAUGGCCUUUAUGUCCAGGGCUACACACGUGCUACAAUGGCCGGUACAAACCGUCGCAAACCCGCGAGGGGGAGCUAAUCGGAAAAAGCCGGCCUCAGUUCGGAUUAGAGUCUGCAACUCGACUCUAUGAAGCUGGAAUCGCUAGUAAUCGCGGAUCAGAACGCCGCGGUGAAUACGUUCCCGGGCCUUGUACACACCGGACACGC